RNAcentral lists this ribosomal RNA (253 nucleotides) under uncultured bacterium. RNAcentral describes it as "partial 16S ribosomal RNA". It matches the Rfam family "Bacterial small subunit ribosomal RNA", at positions 524 to 776 of the family's 1533-position model. The record is from RNAcentral.
UACGUAGGGACCAAGCGUUGUCCGGAAUCAUUGGGCGUAAAGCGCGCGUAGGUGGCUUCGUAAGUCCGUUGUGAAAGUCAAAGGCUCAACCUUUGAAAGCCGAUGGAUACUGCGGAGCUAGAGUACGGAAGAGGCGAGUGGAAUUCCUGGUGUAGCGGUGGAAUGCGCAGAUAUCAGGAGGAACACCAAUAGCGAAGGCAGCUCGCUGGGACGUUACUGACACUGAGGCGCGAAAGCAUGGGUAGCAAACAGG